GAGACAAAAUUGACUUUUGUGAGACAAAAUUGACUUUUGUGAGACAAAAUUGACAAAAUUGAAUUCUGUCUCACAAAAGUCAAUUUUGUCUCACAAAAGUCAAUUUUGUCUCACAAAAGUC
RNAcentral lists this small RNA (121 nucleotides) under Mytilus galloprovincialis (Mediterranean mussel). The record is from RNAcentral. Lineage: Eukaryota; Metazoa; Mollusca; Bivalvia; Mytilida; Mytilidae.